CCUGGUGGCUCAGACAGUAAAGAAUCUGCCUGCAAUGCAGGAGACCCAGGUUCAAUCCCUGGGUCAGGA
Non-coding RNA from Bos taurus (domestic cattle), 69 nucleotides. The record is from Rfam. Lineage: Eukaryota; Metazoa; Chordata; Mammalia; Artiodactyla; Bovidae.